RNAcentral lists this unclassified non-coding RNA (397 nucleotides) under Hevea brasiliensis (rubber tree). Lineage: Eukaryota; Viridiplantae; Streptophyta; Magnoliopsida; Malpighiales; Euphorbiaceae. The record is from RNAcentral.
GAUCAUUAGCAGAGGAGAGUUUUAGCAGUAGGAUUGGAUUAAAUUGGAGUAGUUUCAUAGUUUGUGUGUAGUGAUCUUAAUUAGCUUUGAUUAGACAGACAGUACAGUAGAGUAGAGGAUGUUGGCUGUGUUCAGCGGCGCGGUGGUGGAGGUGCCGGCGGAGCUGGUGGCCGCCGGCAGCCGGACGCCGUCGCCCAAGACGCGGGCGUCGGAGCUGGUCGGCCGCUUCCUCGCCGCCGCCGAGCCGGCCGUGUCCCUGCAGCUCGGCGACCUUGGCCACCUCGCCUACUCCCACGCCAACCAAUCCCUCCUCCGCCCAAGAUCCUUUGCAUCAAAAGAUGACAUUUUCUGCCUGUUUGAGGGAGUCCUGGACAAUCUGGGCAGGCUGAGCCAGCAG